RNAcentral lists this ribosomal RNA (846 nucleotides) under Pseudocercospora eucalyptorum. RNAcentral's name for it is "eukaryotic LSU rRNA". It matches the Rfam family "Eukaryotic large subunit ribosomal RNA", at positions 60 to 938 of the family's 3401-position model. Lineage: Eukaryota; Fungi; Ascomycota; Dothideomycetes; Mycosphaerellales; Mycosphaerellaceae. The record is from RNAcentral.
AGAAACCAACAGGGAUUGCCCUAGUAACGGCGAGUGAAGCGGCAACAGCUCAAAUUUGAAAUCUGGCGCAAGCCCGAGUUGUAAUUUGUAGAGGAUGCUUCUGGGUAGCGGCCGGUCUAAGUUCCUUGGAACAGGACGUCAUAGAGGGUGAGAAUCCCGUAUGUGACUGGCUUGCACCCUCCACGUAGCUCCUUCGACGAGUCGAGUUGUUUGGGAAUGCAGCUCUAAAUGGGAGGUAAAUUUCUUCUAAAGCUAAAUACCGGCCAGAGACCGAUAGCGCACAAGUAGAGUGAUCGAAAGAUGAAAAGCACUUUGGAAAGAGAGUUAAAAAGCACGUGAAAUUGUUGAAAGGGAAGCGCCCGCAACCAGACUUUGCGGCAGUGUUCGGCCGGUCUUCUGACCGGUUUACUCGCUGUCGUGAGGCCAUCAUCGUCUGGGACCGCUGGAUAAGACCUUAGGAAUGUAGCUCCCCUCGGGGAGUGUUAUAGCCUCUGGUGAUGCAGCGCGUCUCGGGCGAGGUCCGCGCUUCGGCAAGGAUGAUGGCGUAAUGGUUGUCGGCGGCCCGUCUUGAAACACGGACCAAGGAGUCUAACAUCUAUGCGAGUGUUCGGGUGUCAAACCCCUACGCGUAAUGAAAGUGAACGGAGGUGGGAACUUUUUGUGCACCAUCGACCGAUCCUGAUGUCCUCGGAUGGAUUUGAGUAAGAGCAUAGCUGUUGGGACCCGAAAGAUGGUGAACUAUGCCUGAAUAGGGUGAAGCCAGAGGAAACUCUGGUGGAGGCUCGCAGCGGUUCUGACGUGCAAAUCGAUCGUCAAAUUUGGGUAUAGGGGCGAAAGACUAAUCGA